This 527-nucleotide ribosomal RNA is filed under the name uncultured bacterium. RNAcentral's name for it is "bacterial SSU rRNA". It matches the Rfam family "Bacterial small subunit ribosomal RNA", at positions 777 to 1304 of the family's 1533-position model. The record is from RNAcentral.
AAUAGAUACCCCGGUAGUCCACGCCGUAAACGAUGUCGACUUGGAGGUUGUGCCCUUGAGGCGUGGCUUCCGGAGCUAACGCGUUAAGUCGACCGCCUGGGGAGUACGGCCGCAAGGUUAAAACUCAAAUGAAUUGACGGGGGCCCGCACAAGCGGUGGAGCAUGUGGUUUAAUUCGAUGCAACGCGAAGAACCUUACCUACUCUUGACAUCCAGAGAACUUGGCAGAGAUGCUUUGGUGCCUUCGGGAACUCUGAGACAGGUGCUGCAUGGCUGUCGUCAGCUCGUGUUGUGAAAUGUUGGGUUAAGUCCCGCAACGAGCGCAACCCUUAUCCUUUGUUGCCAGCGGUUAGGCCGGGAACUCAAAGGGGACUGCCAGUGAUAAACUGGAGGAAGGUGGGGAUGACGUCAAGUCAUCAUGGCCCUUACGAGUAGGGCUACACACGUGCUACAAUGGCGCAUACAAAGAGAAGCGACCUCGCGAGAGCAAGCGGACCUCAUAAAGUGCGUCGUAGUCCGGAUUGGAGU